Molecule: non-coding RNA, 74 nt
Organism: Pluteus cervinus
Lineage: Eukaryota; Fungi; Basidiomycota; Agaricomycetes; Agaricales; Pluteaceae
Source: the annotation of a GenBank genome assembly
CGUCGACUAGCUCAGUUGGUCAGAGCGUCGAGCUAAUAACGCGAAGGUCUUGGGUUCGACCCCCAGGUUGGCCA